UUUCCUACGAAAAUAUAUCGUAAGAAAGUUGAAGAAAAUUUCCUUCGAAAAUCCUAUAAAGAACAUAAUUGUAGGAAAUUUUGUAAGAAAGUUGAAAAACUUUGGUAGGAAACAUCUUCAUAGGAAUUUGGUAAGAAAUAUUCCUUCCAAUUUCCUACCAAAACUAUAUUGAAUGAAUUUCGUAGGAAUAUUUUCUACCAUUUUUUUUUCCAAUAUAUUUUAAUCGUGCUUACACCUUCCUUCUCCUAUUUUCUCUGUUAGUCUUCCUCCAUUUUUAUUUUUUUUGGUUCUUCUACCAUGUUUACUUUUAAUAUUUUAUCUUUGUCUCUGUAUACUCUUCUUCACUAUUAUUAAUCUACUAGAAAUAGAUCUGGUCUUUUUUAUCUACCUUAAAGUUUUUUUUAUAUAUUUCUCUAGCUCUCAAGCUCAAGGAAAACACUAGAUCUGAUUAUACUAUCACUUCAACAUGCUGUUACACAAUUCUCUUCCUUAUCUCUGUUCUGGAUUUGUUGUUUUCCUCAUCUUUUUUCUUUCUCAGAUCUAACCAUUUCUCAGAUCUAACCAUUUUUUUGCCCUAUGUUUCAGAUCUAACUUAUUUGCAGAUGAUGCCGCCAUUAACGAUGCUCAAAAGGUAAAUCUCUCGUUUUUUACUCUUCAAUUAACUGGGUUUUGUUGUAUUUCUUAGGAUUGAAAGAGGAAGAUACAAAUAAAAAAGCUAUCCGACGACGUCGGACAUUGGAGUCGGUGGUGGAGGAGAGCAAAAGCAUUGAAGCAAUUUUUAUUUGUUUAUUCUUAUUAUAUUUGUUUUGUUUUAUUAAAGUUUUUUUUAUAAAUAAGAAUUGUUGAUAUUUUGGUUAAUAAUAAUUAUCAAUUUCGAAUUUAACAAACUGUAAUUUUAAAUAUCAAAAUCAAUUAAAUCAAAAUAUGAAUAGAAAUUAAU
RNAcentral lists this long non-coding RNA (940 nucleotides) under Capsella rubella. RNAcentral's name for it is "long non-coding RNA (CRUB_LNC000858)". Lineage: Eukaryota; Viridiplantae; Streptophyta; Magnoliopsida; Brassicales; Brassicaceae. The record is from RNAcentral.